CGGACGGGUGAGUAACGCGUGGAUAACCUGCCUCAUACGGGGGAUAACAGUUAGAAAUGACUGCUAAUACCGCAUAAGCGCACAGGACCGCAUGGUCUGGUGUGAAAAACUCCGGUGGUAUGGGAUGGAUCCGCGUCUGAUUAGCUGGUUGGUGAGGUAACGGCCCACCAAGGCGACGAUCAGUAGCCGACCUGAGAGGGUGGCCGGCCACAUUGGGACUGAGACACGGCCCAAACUCCUACGGAAGGCAGCAG
Molecule: ribosomal RNA, 254 nt
Filed under: uncultured bacterium
Lineage: Bacteria
Description: partial 16S ribosomal RNA
Rfam family: Bacterial small subunit ribosomal RNA
Source: RNAcentral